RNAcentral lists this ribosomal RNA (595 nucleotides) under uncultured bacterium. Its description in RNAcentral is "bacterial SSU rRNA". It matches the Rfam family "Bacterial small subunit ribosomal RNA", at positions 338 to 960 of the family's 1533-position model. The record is from RNAcentral.
CCUACGGGAGGCAGCAGUGGGGAAUCUUGCGCAAUGGGCGAAAGCCUGACGCAGCAACGCCGCGUGCGGGAUGAAGGCCUUCGGGUUGUAAACCGCUUUCAGCAGGGAAGAAAUUGACGGUACCUGCAGAAGAAGCCCCGGCCAACUACGUGCCAGCAGCCGCGGUAACACGUAGGGGGCGAGCGUUGUCCGGAUUUAUUGGGCGUAAAGAGCUCGUAGGCGGUUCACUAAGUCGGGUGUGAAACCUCCAGGCUCAACCUGGAGACGCCACCUGAUACUGGUGUGACUAGAGUCCGGUAGGGGAGUGUGGAACUCCUGGUGUAGCGGUGAAAUGCGCAGAUAUCAGGAAGAACACCAGCGGCGAAGGCGGCACUCUGGGCCGGUACUGACGCUGAGGAGCGAAAGCGUGGGUAGCAAACAGGAUUAGAUACCCUGGUAGUCCACGCCGUAAACGUUGGGCACUAGGUGUGGGUCUCAACCAACGAGAUCCGUGCCGCAGCUAACGCAUUAAGUGCCCCGCCUGGGGAGUACGGCCGCAAGGCUAAAACUCAAAGGAAUUGACGGCNGAGACGNGCGACGACGACGACGAGGAGAG